Molecule: ribosomal RNA, 612 nt
Filed under: Triticum aestivum (bread wheat)
Lineage: Eukaryota; Viridiplantae; Streptophyta; Magnoliopsida; Poales; Poaceae
Description: partial small subunit ribosomal RNA
Source: RNAcentral
AUGAGCAAGGCCCUGUCUACUUGGAAAAGCAAUGUGAAGAGAAUGAUCGAGAAAGGUGAGAGUUAUGAGAAGAUCAAGGAGAAAAAUCCUUCGAUCACCGAAGAUGACUACAACGACUUCAAGAUCAAUUGCUCGAGCACCGCAAGUUCCCAAUCAAGUGAGUGGGGGAAACAAAUGCGGGAGCUGAACAUAGGGGAAAACACACUCGGUCCCGGCGGUUACAGAGUGGCGGAGCCUAUAUGGGACAAGGAGGAGGCGGACCGUGCCGAGCAAGGCCUACCGCCCCUCUUCGAUAAAUACGGUGACAAGCAGACCAGGAACUUUGUCAGGGCCCGGUACAAGAAGGACCCGAAAACAAAGGAGCUUACCACGGAUCCGAAGACCAGGCAGCUUGAGCUUGUUCUGGCGACUGAAAGCAGUAGCGCGGGGUCGACUCAGAGCAACCCUUGGGACACCACUCUAAAUAGGGGGUUGAAUAUAAUGAAGAACAAGGAUAAGCUCAGUAAGCCGACGUCAGCUGGUCGUGUGGCCGGCAAAGGCUUGUCGACAAAAUGGGGGUCAUACUAUACCGCUGGUGUGCGGAAGGAGAAAAAGACCAGCUCGGAAAGCUAG